ACGGAAGGCAGCAGUGAGGAAUAUUGGUCAAUGGGCGGAAGCCUGAACUAGCCAUGCCGCGUGAAGGAAUGAGGCCCUAUGGGUCGUAAACUUCUUUUGACGGGGAGCAAUAAGGCGCACGUGUGCGCCGAUGAGAGUACUCGUCGAAUAAGCAUCGGCUAACUCCGUGCCAGCAGCCGCGGUAAUACGGAGGAUGCAAGCGUUAUCCGGAUUUAUUGGGUUUAAAGGGUGCGUAGGCGGGUCGUCAAGUCAGCGGUGAAAUCCCGGAGCCUAACUCCGGAACUGCCGUUGAUACUGGCGGUCUUGAAUUCGGAUGCCGUGGGAGGAAUGAGUAGUGUAGCGGUGAAAUGCAUAGAUAUUACUCAGAACACCGAUUGCGAAGGCAUCUCACGAAUCCGACAUUGACGCUGAGGCACGAAAGCGUGGGGAUCAAACAGGAUUAGAUACCCUGGUA
This 454-nucleotide ribosomal RNA is filed under the name uncultured bacterium. Its description in RNAcentral is "partial 16S ribosomal RNA". It matches the Rfam family "Bacterial small subunit ribosomal RNA", at positions 341 to 792 of the family's 1533-position model. The record is from RNAcentral.